Molecule: non-coding RNA, 30 nt
Filed under: Homo sapiens (human)
Lineage: Eukaryota; Metazoa; Chordata; Mammalia; Primates; Hominidae
Source: RNAcentral
GNGAUGUGAGGCUGUUAGUUACCACAAGGG